UUGUUUUAUUUUCAUAUUAGUGUUAUUAAUUAAUGUUUACUGCUUCUGCUUAUGGUAUGACCCAAACAGGUAUCCUCGUUUAACAGAGGAUGAUUUUGCAACACAUUGCCCAUUUUGUCUCAAUAUUUGCAAUCGCAAGGCCUGUUUUGCGGUCACACAAAACAAAUGAGGUACACAUUUUGUGUUGGUUUCAUUUCUAUUUUGCCACCUGGACUUAGUGUGUUAGAUAUUUUGUCUAAUUUCUUC
Molecule: long non-coding RNA, 246 nt
Filed under: Setaria viridis
Lineage: Eukaryota; Viridiplantae; Streptophyta; Magnoliopsida; Poales; Poaceae
Description: long non-coding RNA (SVIR_LNC008303)
Source: RNAcentral